CCCCUCUCAGGGUCGCACCUGGAGAGUUUCCAGUACUCCACCAGUCCCUACUAGGGGAGGGAGAGUCAAGGAGAGGUAUAUCCAUUCCAUUUCUAGCUUGGCCAGUGGCUAGCAAAUGGAAGGCCAUCUGCUUCAAAU
This is a small nucleolar RNA of Ornithorhynchus anatinus (platypus), 138 nucleotides long. The record is from RefSeq and is a predicted model, not a curated record. NCBI's taxonomy places the organism in Eukaryota, Metazoa, Chordata, Mammalia, Monotremata, Ornithorhynchidae.